This 214-nucleotide unclassified non-coding RNA is filed under the name Hevea brasiliensis (rubber tree). The record is from RNAcentral. Lineage: Eukaryota; Viridiplantae; Streptophyta; Magnoliopsida; Malpighiales; Euphorbiaceae.
GGUUUUCAAGUAUGAGCUCUGCUGCUUUUACUGGCUUUGUGUAGAUUUGCAAGGAACCAUUGGACAGCAGGACCUUUACAACUCCAUUGGAGAUGAUUGAAGGAGCACAAGAAGCUGCAUUACCCAUGAAUGUUGAGAGAAAGAGAGAGAGAUAUGGUUGAUGGAGUUUGUGGCAAUCAUGGAUUAUUUUUAAGUUGGAGAUGAGAUGGUAGUU